This 227-nucleotide ribosomal RNA is filed under the name Triticum aestivum (bread wheat). Its description in RNAcentral is "partial small subunit ribosomal RNA". The record is from RNAcentral. Lineage: Eukaryota; Viridiplantae; Streptophyta; Magnoliopsida; Poales; Poaceae.
AGUCGCUUCCUUUUUGCGUAUGGCACCCCCACUCCCUUUGGCAGCAUCUACUAAUUCGGAACUUAAUUUGAAAGCCAUAUUUCGACCCGGACGCUUUUGGGAUGCUUCUAAUAACCAACGAAUGGCAAGUGCUCUUCCUUGUUUAGAUCCUAUUUCAAUCGGAACUUUCCGCGUCGAUCCUUUUUUAUUACGUCUUGUUUUUACUCCUAUAUUGGGAGUUACUCUAC